Long non-coding RNA from Penaeus vannamei (Pacific white shrimp), 748 nucleotides. RefSeq lists it as uncharacterized. NCBI's taxonomy places the organism in Eukaryota, Metazoa, Arthropoda, Malacostraca, Decapoda, Penaeidae. The record is from RefSeq and is a predicted model, not a curated record.
UGUAACGCCGCGCGGGAAGGUUAUACGCCCGCCGCUUCUCCCGCUGUAUAAAACAACUGAAACAUUGUGAUUUUCGGACCCCCUCUCCGCCCCCCUCCCUCCCCCCGUCCUCCACCAUGGUCUCCAACAAGGUCCUCGUCCUCAUCGCCGUCCUGGUGGUGGUGGUCAUCGUGGCGGUGGUGUUGGCAAUCAUAUACGGCCAGCCUUGCGAGGGGGAUGACUGCGAUGGCGGCGGAGGGUCGUCGUACCGUAGAAAGAACUGGAGUACCGUGCGCAAGUGGACAUCCUCGAGUAGGAGUAGGUCGUCCUCGGGGAAGAGCAGCGGGUCGAGGCGAGGUUAGCGUGGGGAUGAUGGAGGCGGAGCGGUAUAGAAAACGGGGUUUGGGAGUGGCGGGAAAAUGGGAAUCGGGGCUCGGUUGGGUGAUUAUAGAAAACGGGCAUUAAGUAGGGUUAGCGAUGACAGAAAACGUAAACUAAACAAAAAUCAUGAGAAAUAAAAAUGUUGUUUACGAGGAUUAUUUCCGCUCAAAAUAUACAAGCAAACUCUUAACGGUUGGUGUCGAAGGAAACGAGAAUUUAGAAGGAUGAUGACAGAAUCGGGAAUUACUGAAGAUUAGUGAUAACGGAAAAUUGCAAUCAAGAAAAUUGGGCGAAAGCAAAUAGAGAGGAAGAAAAAAAAAAACACAGUAAAGGGCAUACAUAAAAGAUAGACAAUAACAUUAAGGAAAUUGUUAUCAAGAGAGAGAGA